UACGAGGGGGGCAAGCGUUGUUCGGAAUUAUUGGGCGUAAAGGGCGCGUAGGCGGUGCGGUAAGUCACCUGUGAAAUCUCCGGGCUUAACUCGGAGCCUGCAGGCGAAACUGCCGUGCUUGAGUGUGGGAGAGGUGCGUGGAAUUCCCGGUGUAGCGGUAAUAUGCGUAGAUAUCGGGAGGAACACCAGUGGCGAAGGCGGCUGUCUGGGGUAUUGCUGACGCUGAGACGCGAAAGCGUGGGGAGCAAACAGG
RNAcentral lists this ribosomal RNA (253 nucleotides) under uncultured bacterium. RNAcentral describes it as "partial 16S ribosomal RNA". It matches the Rfam family "Bacterial small subunit ribosomal RNA", at positions 524 to 776 of the family's 1533-position model. The record is from RNAcentral.